This 73-nucleotide transfer RNA is filed under the name Buchnera aphidicola (Sipha maydis). RNAcentral's name for it is "transfer RNA Cysteine". It matches the Rfam family "tRNA". From Rfam's summary of the family: Transfer RNA (tRNA) molecules are approximately 80 nucleotides in length. Their secondary structure includes four short double-helical elements and three loops (D, anti-codon, and T loops). Lineage: Bacteria; Pseudomonadati; Pseudomonadota; Gammaproteobacteria; Enterobacterales; Erwiniaceae. The record is from RNAcentral.
GGUGCAUUGGCAGAUUGGCAUUAUGCAGCGGAUUGCAAAUCCGUAUAACUCGGUUCGAUUCCGAGGUGCACCU